RNAcentral lists this ribosomal RNA (491 nucleotides) under uncultured bacterium. RNAcentral describes it as "partial 16S ribosomal RNA". It matches the Rfam family "Bacterial small subunit ribosomal RNA", at positions 29 to 507 of the family's 1533-position model. The record is from RNAcentral.
AGUGAACGCUGGCGGUAGGCCUAACACAUGCAAGUCGAACGGCAGCACAGUAAGAGCUUGCUCUUACGGGUGGCGAGUGGCGGACGGGUGAGGAAUACAUCGGAAUCUACUUUUUCGUGGGGGAUAAUGUAGGGAAACUUACGCUAAUACCGCAUACGACCUACGGGUGAAGCAGGGGAUCUUCGGACCUUGCGCGAUUGAAUGAGCCGAUGUCGGAUUAGCUAGUUGGCGGGGUAAAGGCCCACCAAGGCGACGAUCCGUAGCUGGUCUGAGAGGAUGAUCAGCCACACUGGAACUGAGACACGGUCCAGACUCCUACGGGAGGCGGCAGUGGGGAAUAUUGGACAAUGGGCGCAAGCCUGAUCCAGCCAUACCGCGUGGGUGAAGAAGGCCUUCGGGUUGUAAAGCCCUUUUGUUGGGAAAGAAAAGCAGCAGGUUAAUACCCCGCUGUUCUGACGGUACCCAAAGAAUAAGCACCGGCUAACUUCGUG